AUGCCCGCGGCUCCAGAGGAAGAAGCCCAGGGACGGGCCUCCCUUGUGGGGGGUCGGCUUCUUCUUGGGAACUUGGUCGUUUCCGGCGCUGGCUGGCUGGCUGGAUGUAAAGCACUGAAGCCCCCCCAGGCCGCCAACCCCUCAAAGCAGAACCGGACCUCCGUGGCCCCGGCAGCCUUGCCCACCGCUCCACGUGUCCUGGGCUCUUCCUGCCCCUUUCUCUUCGGCCUUGUGGUUGCUGCGUCGGGCACGCUUGGAGGCUGGCCUGCCAGGAGCUUCCACCCUGGGGCCUGUGUCAGCCACUGGCCCUCCACACCCCGGAAGCAUACGACCUCUGGGAAAGACAGCCCUGACCUUCGGUUUUCCAAGCACGGUGUUCCCCAAGAAUUCUGGGCUGGCGGCCUGGUGGCAGUGCCUGAGAUGGCCCCGAGCCCCUCCCCAUGGGGCACCCAGGAGGGCCCUGCCAGAGUGUGCAGCCUGUGGGUAGUCGGCUGGUGUCCCUGUCGUGGAGUUGGGGCGCGUGACCUGGUGCCCGUCCACGCGGGUGUGCGGUGUAAACAUGUAUGUGCUGUACAGAGAGAUGCGUGUGGAGAGCCGCACGCGAGUGCCACGCAGGAGAGGCGGAGCGGUUACCAGUGUUUUGUGUUUAUUUUUAAUCAAGACAUUUCCCCUGUUUUCCUAUAAAUUUGCUUCGUGUAAGCAAGUACAUAAGGACCCUCCUUUGGUGAAAUCCGGGUUCGAAUGAAUAUCUCAAGGCAGGAGAUGCAUCUAUUUUAAGAUGCUUUGGAGCAGACAGCUUUAGCCGUUCCCAAUCCUUAGCAAUGCCUUAGCUGGGACGCAUAGCUAAUACUUUAGAGAGGAUGACAGAUCCAUAAAGAGAGUAAAGAUAAGAGAAAAUGUCUAAAGCAUCUGGAAAGGUAAAAAAAAAAAAAAAAUCUAUUUUUGUACAAAUGUAAUUUUAUCCCUCAUGUAUACUUGGAUAUGGCGGGGGGAGGGCUGGGACUGUUUUGUUUCUGCUUCUAGAGAUUGAGGUGAAAGCUUCGUGCGAGAAACGCCAGGACGGACGAUGGCAGAGGAGAGGGCUCCUGUGACGGCGGCAAGGCUUGGGAGGAAACCGCCGCAACAGGGGCGUCUUCCUUGGGGGCAGGAGGGUGGGCCUGAGGCUUUCAAGGGUUUUCUUCCCCUUUCGAGUCAUUUUUAAAGCCUCACUCUGUUGCGUCCUGUUGCCGGCCUCCCUGCGACUGUGACUGAAACGCUUCCCCGUACGAUUGUCUCUGAAACAUCGCGGCCGCAGGUGCCACGGUUUGACGGACAGUGACGUUAGAACGGUGGAAGAGAAGCACGCAAAGGGAGCGACGUGAGAGGAGAAACAAAAUAUGAGCGUUUAAAAUACAUCGCCGUUCAGUUCA
Molecule: non-coding RNA, 1409 nt
Organism: Chlorocebus sabaeus (green monkey)
Lineage: Eukaryota; Metazoa; Chordata; Mammalia; Primates; Cercopithecidae
Source: RefSeq, a predicted model, not a curated record